RNAcentral lists this ribosomal RNA (254 nucleotides) under uncultured bacterium. Its description in RNAcentral is "partial 16S ribosomal RNA". It matches the Rfam family "Bacterial small subunit ribosomal RNA", at positions 524 to 776 of the family's 1533-position model. The record is from RNAcentral.
UACGAAGGGGGCUAGCGUUGUUCGGAAUCACUGGGCGUAAAGCGCACGUAGGCGGAUCGUUAAGUCGGGGGUGAAAUCCCAGGGCUCAACCCUGGAACUGCCUUCGAUACUGGCGAUCUUCGAGUCCGGGAGAGGUGAGUGGAACUCCGAGUGUAGAGGUGAAAUUCGUAGAUAUUCGGAAGAACACCAGUGGCGAAGGCGGCUCACUGGCCCGGUACUGACGCUGAGGCGCGAAAGCGUGGGGAGCAAACAGG